Molecule: ribosomal RNA, 492 nt
Filed under: uncultured bacterium
Lineage: Bacteria
Description: partial 16S ribosomal RNA
Rfam family: Bacterial small subunit ribosomal RNA
Source: RNAcentral
AGUGAACGCUGGCGGUAGGCCUAACACAUGCAAGUCGAACGGCAGCACAGUAAGAGCUUGCUCUUACGGGUGGCGAGUGGCGGACGGGUGAGGAAUACAUCGGAAUCUACUUUUUCGUGGGGGAUAACGUAGGGAAACUUACGCUAAUACCGCAUACGACCUACGGGUGAAAGCAGGGGAGCUUCGGACCUUGCGCGAUAGAAUGAGCCGAUGUCGGAUUAGCUAGUUGGCGGGGUAAAGGCACACCAAGGCGACGAUCCGUAGCUGGUCUGAGAGGAUGAUCAGCCACACUGGAACUGAGACACGGUCCAGACUCCUACGGGAGGCAGCAGUGGGGAAUCUUGGACAAUGGGCGCAAGCCUGAUCCAGCCAUACCGCGUGGGUGAAGAAGGCCUUCGGGUUGUAAAGCCCUUUUGUUGGGAAAGAAAAGCAGCAGGUUAAUACCCCGCUGUUCUGACGGUACCCAAAGAAUAAGCACCGGCUAACUUCGUG